Molecule: small RNA, 624 nt
Filed under: Arabidopsis thaliana (thale cress)
Lineage: Eukaryota; Viridiplantae; Streptophyta; Magnoliopsida; Brassicales; Brassicaceae
Description: ATSL054620
Source: RNAcentral
AUUUUAAAAGAUUUUUUUUACAAGACGAUGUUUUUGCAUACAUUUUAUCUUUUCUUUCCACAAAAAAACUGUUUCAACGACAGUAUUCUCCAGAAAGUGAAAGAAUGUGUUUGUUCUUUUUCGGCGUUUUAACCUUGAUUAUGCUAUACAAUAACAUGAUAGUAUCAAGGAAUUCAUUGAUUUUGUGAAGUGUUUGUUUAAUCGGAAAAUCAAGUCGAGUAUAAAGAACCUCUUUUUAAAGAUUCAUCUGGAUGAUGAAAAUCCUCACCUAGACCAAACUCUUGUUUGUAGCUCGAUAUGCAAUGUGCUUCAAGGUGAUGUUGUUGCGGAUAUUGAUAUGUUCAUCACUUUAACAAGGGAUUAUUUCCAUCUUGCAGGUUUGUCUUUGUUGAUCUUCAAGUGUAAGAUACUAGUUAAGCUGAGAUUACAACGCGAUUAAGCUGAAACUGCAUAGGAGAGAUUAUUUAAAUAUUAUAAAAAUUAUCCUCUUAUAUAAUUUAUUGUUUGGUUUAUCUCUUAUAUUUAAUCGUUCGUUUUGUACGUCAGCAAGAUUCUUGUAAAGGAUCAAAUAUCUUCACAAAUUCACAGUAUGGUACUUAUUGGUAAGUUGAUUGUGUACAAUUU